UGCCCAGCAACUCCUAUCCCUACCUCCUCGUGGUACUGGCCGAGUAACCUUGGGGAAGAUCGGGUAACCAACCCCCGGUGGGAACUUUGGUCGUAUGCUGACAGGGAAGG
This 110-nucleotide ribozyme is filed under the name Aedes aegypti (yellow fever mosquito). RNAcentral describes it as "drz-agam-1 ribozyme". It matches the Rfam family "drz-agam-1 ribozyme". The record is from Rfam by way of RNAcentral. Lineage: Eukaryota; Metazoa; Arthropoda; Insecta; Diptera; Culicidae.